UUCCUUCUUACCUCAGACUUCGUUGUUCUACUUCUCCCUCACUUAGUUUUAUAUCUCAUCUGGAGUACUAUAUUGAUGCAUUUAUUUUGUUCCUUUUUCGGUGUUGCUGGGUAAACUCUCUUUUGCUGUUUCUUUUUUCAUUCUUUUCAAUGAGUUAUGGGUAUUCUAUUGAUAUGGUUGGAACGACUACGAAAUGGCUAUUUAAAGUCACUGAAUGCUGGGUUUUUUCUAUUUUUGUUCAUAUUUUAUUUGAAUUGCUGUUGAAGAAAGAUCUAUGCCCCAAAUUUUGUAUUGUGAUUUUACUACAAAGCCUUGAAUCUGUUGCAGGUGAUUUGUUCCUCGUGACAGUUUUUAAGCUCCUAUGCAGCUU
RNAcentral lists this long non-coding RNA (370 nucleotides) under Nicotiana benthamiana. RNAcentral describes it as "long non-coding RNA (NBEN_LNC019342)". Lineage: Eukaryota; Viridiplantae; Streptophyta; Magnoliopsida; Solanales; Solanaceae. The record is from RNAcentral.